GCCUAUCAGCUUGUUAGUGAGGUAAUGGCUCACCAAGGCGUCGACGGGUAGCCGGCCUGAGAGGGUGACCGGCCACACUGGGACUGAGACACGGCCCAGACUCCUACGGGAGGCAGCAGUGGGGAAUAUUGCACAAUGGGCGCAAGCCUGAUGCAGCAACGCCGCGUGAGGGAUGACGGCCUUCGGGUUGUAAGCCUCUUUUAGCAGGGAAGAAGCGAAAGUGACGGUACCUGCAGAAAAAGCGCCGGCUAACUACGUGCCAGCAGCCGCGGUAAUACGUAGGGCGCAAGCGUUAUCCGGAAUUAUUGGGCGUAAAGAGCUCGUAGGCGGUUUGUCGCGUCUGCUGUGAAAUCCCGAGGCUCAACCUCGGGUCUGCAGUGGGUACGGGCAGACUAGAGUGCGGUAGGGGAGAUUGGAAUUCCUGGUGUAGCGGUGGAAUGCGCAGAUAUCAGGAGGAACACCGAUGGCGAAGGCAGAUCUCUGGGCCGUAACUGACGCUGAGGAGCGAAUGGGUGGGGAGCAAACAGGCUUAGAUACCCUGGUAGUCCACCCCGUAAACGUUGGGAACUAGUUGUGGGGUCCAUUCCACGGAUUCCGUGACGCAGCUAACGCAUUAAGUUCCCCGCCUGGGGAGUACGGCCGCAAGGCUA
Molecule: ribosomal RNA, 650 nt
Filed under: uncultured Actinomycetes bacterium
Lineage: Bacteria; Bacillati; Actinomycetota; Actinomycetes
Description: bacterial SSU rRNA
Rfam family: Bacterial small subunit ribosomal RNA
Source: RNAcentral